This 666-nucleotide ribosomal RNA is filed under the name Hepatozoon canis. RNAcentral describes it as "bacterial SSU rRNA". It matches the Rfam family "Eukaryotic small subunit ribosomal RNA", at positions 167 to 821 of the family's 1831-position model. The record is from RNAcentral. Lineage: Eukaryota; Apicomplexa; Hepatozoidae.
AUACAUGAGCAAAAUCUCAACUUUAUUAGAAGAGACGCAUUUAUUAGAUAAAAAGCCAGUUCAUGCUUUUAUAGUAUGAAAAUUGGUGAUUUAUAAUAACUUAGCAAAUCGCAAAGUGAAAACAGGCGAUAAAUCAUUCAAGUUUCUGACCUAUCAGCUUUCGACGGUAUGGUAUUGGCUUACCGUGGCAGUGACGGUUAACGGGGGAUUAGGGUUCGAUUCCGGAGAGGGAGCCUGAGAAACGGCUACCACAUCUAAGGAAGGCAGCAGGCGCGCAAAUUACCCAAUUCUAACAGUUUGAGAGAGGUAGUAACAAGAAAUAACAAUACAAGGCAGUUAAAAUGCUUUGUAAUUGGAAUGAUAGAAAUUUAAACCCUUUUUGAAGUAUCAAUUGGAGGGCAAGUCUGGUGCCAGCAGCCGCGGUAAUUCCAGCUCCAAUAGCGUAUAUUAAAAUCGUUGCAGUUAAAAAGCUCGUAGUUGAAGUUCUGCUGAAAGUAACCGGUCUGCUUUUAAUAAAAGUGGUAUCAUGGUAUGUAUUUAGCAAUGAUGUCCUUUGAAGUGUUUUUUACUUUAUUGUAAUAAAGCAUAUUCAGGACUUUUACUUUGAGAAAAUUAGAGUGUUUCUAGCAGGCUAACGCUUUGAAUACUGCAGCAUGGAAUAAUAAG